CCAGAUUUAUUUAAUGGACAUGCACCUACAUGUUUAAGCUCUUUCAUAGACACUCGGGUAACACCCAUCCCUCCCCUGUGUUUAUUGUCUCUCAUGCUCUUGAAUAUCCUAAUUCUCUUCUCAUGUCUCUGACAGCAGUGCCUUCCAUAAUGUAAUAGUUUUUAAAAAGAGAGUUGAAUUUAUUUAAUCUCGUUGCGUUUUUGUUUUUGAUCUUAAGACACUGUUUAUCCACUUGUCUAUGUGACUGUUCACUUGAAAUUUCUGUAAUGCGGCUACUCUUCAGGAAAUAGUGCUGACCCACAUCAUUUAUUCAUUUGUUUGUUUGUUUGCUUAUUUGUUUGUUUUAGAUCACAUUUUAUAUUAAUAUCCAAUACUUUUAAAACCACUGUUCACAUAUUAUUAGGAGACUGCUUGAAUUUCUGUCCAGGAUGAGGCAUGCAGUAUAACAAUGCCAUGUUUGUUCAGUUCAGUUCUAACACUGGGAAUUUGUUUAUGGAUCAGUAGAAAGUGGGAGUUCAAACUUGUAAAUUCUUUUUAAAUAUGAUUCAGUCGUAUGCUUUCCAGGGUGAGUCAGUUUGUGCUUGUUUAUUGAAAGAUAGUUGUUACACUCUAUUCAUUCAUAUAUAUUAUAUAGGCCUAUAUAUAGUAUCAAGAAGUGUAACCACAAUGUCAGAUGGUGUAAAUGUUAGGGCUAAUUAAGUAAUUAAGGCCUGAAUUUGACAUGAAAGUCAGAAAGAGAUAUGGCCUUCGUUAACAAUAUAAUGACUCAAUAGUCAAUGACUAUCACCGCAUCUACACAUUAGACGAUUUGUAUCAAUUCUGGAGUGUGGCCAAGGCUAUUCCAAGAACGUCGUGGGUUGUCUUUAGCCACGCCUUAAUAGCGUGUGGGCGAUUGAAAGGUUAUCAAUGAAUGGUAUAAAGCAUGUCCACCCGCCGAACUGUUUGCAGGUUUAGUAAAGAUGGGCAAGACAAAUUUCAUAGGUAAUAAAUUAUCAUUCAUGUCCCUGAGUAGUCAGUAUAUUGUAAAAUUCGUUCUAAUUGAUUUGGUAACGUUCUCGUCAAAUGAUGAUGCUUUAAAAAUGUUGAUUUUUUUCAAGGUUAUUUAUCCUUCUUCCUCUGGAUACACCUGGCCAUUUGUUCUGACCAGAAAUCUUAUGGGGAAAGGAGAUGGGCACAGUGCCUACAGGGAAUCCAAACUAAUUCUCAUGUCAUAAAAACCGAAGUUGCUCACCUGAAGGGAACAUGCGAUGACCAUGACGAGAAAAUAAAGGCUCGCUGCAUUAUUGAUUGGGCUUAUUGCCCGGAGGAAAAAGAAGGCGGCGAUGAACUUCGUAAGGUGAUGUGCCUAUUAAACGAUACGUUCUCACUGCAUGCACGGGACUGUUCGGACAGCCCGAGAAGAAUCGAACGACUGAGAAGGACCGUAGAUAAAAAGACUAAGGAUGCCUUUUUCAAAUGCUGGUGUUUCUUUAUCUCUAAAAGAAUUGUUUUAAAAAAAAGGUCUGACCUUCAACGCAACACUGAUCUUAACUAAGCAGUUUAGAUAAUGGAUGGAUUGGUGGAUGGACGUCUGUCUCUUGAAAGUCUUUAAAAGUAAUUGUAUAAAUGCUCCUGCAGUUAUGCGAAUUUAGAAGGACAUUUUUCCAUUUGAAUGUCAGAUUAUUUGUUAUCAUGUAGGCUACCAACAUCACUUGUGUGUGCGAAUUCAAUUUAACUGAUUUUAACGUGGCGUUUAUGUAUGCUACCAAUUAAUGUCUUUAAUGCAGUAUUUUUGUAUGUAUGCACUAUAUUUAUGUGUAAAUUCAAAUCGAUGUUUUCACGGAGCCAUUGAGUCUUGAUCAGGCUACAUUUAAAAAGUAUGGUCUCUGAAAUACUGGAAAAUUCAAUGUUAUUUAAAUUUAGGCUAUUGAAAUUUUUUUAUUAUUCAUAUAUAAUCACAUUUCUGUGCAUUUUAGAUGGUGUCUGUGUAUUUAUUUAUUAUUUUCCCCUCUAUCAGCAAUCAGUGUCUGCGAAUCUCAUCACCUUUUCAUGGUUACGUCAAAGUGCAUCGACGUGUGGGAGACAUGGUCGUGUUCAAUGGGCAGUAGCCUAACAUAGCACAUGCAGUGAUUAGAGUAUGGCACCAGAGGGAAGCGUUCAAAACUCAUGUCGCACACAUAUUGUACUCUAAAUAAAGGUACUCUACCUCAGUUGCUCAAGUAAUACUCAGGACGUUACAGAUUAAAGUUUUCGUAAAUGUGUAUGUUUUCAG
This is a long non-coding RNA of Anguilla rostrata (American eel), 2251 nucleotides long. RefSeq lists it as uncharacterized. The record is from RefSeq and is a predicted model, not a curated record. Lineage: Eukaryota; Metazoa; Chordata; Actinopteri; Anguilliformes; Anguillidae. The transcript has 4 exons.